RNAcentral lists this ribosomal RNA (468 nucleotides) under uncultured bacterium. Its description in RNAcentral is "partial 16S ribosomal RNA". It matches the Rfam family "Bacterial small subunit ribosomal RNA", at positions 28 to 507 of the family's 1533-position model. The record is from RNAcentral.
GACGAACGCUGGCGGCGUGCUUAACACAUGCAAGUCGAACGGACAGGCCCUGCUCUUGUGGGUUGCUCGAUUGGCGAACGGGUGUGUAACACGUGAGUAACCUGCCCUUGUCUUUGGGAUAACUCCACGAAACUGCGGCUAAUACCGGAUAGGAUCUCCUGAUGCACAUGGUGGGUUGGAAAGUUUCGGCGGUUGUGGCUGGACUCGAGGCUUAUCCGCUGCUUUGUGGGGUAGUGGCUUACCAAGGCUAUGACGGGUAGCCGGCCUGAGAGCGUGAACGGCGACAAUGGGACUGAGAUACGGAGCAGACGCGUACGGGCGGCAGCAGUCGAGAAUAUGGCGCAAUGGGGGGACGCCUGAUGCAGAAGCGUCGCGUGCGGGAUGAUGUCCUUCGGGUUGUAAACCACUUUCGACGGUGACGAAGCGUGAGUGACGGUAAUGGGUAAGGAAGCACCGGCUAACUACGUG